UUGGGUUAGAUCUGCUCUCUUCGCAAGAAGAGGGUUUCCAUACACACCGUGAACUGUGGCUUCGGCCAUCACAAACUGUUAGUAAUGAAUGUAAUAUCAUAACAAAAACAAAACUUUUAACAACGGAUCUCUUGGCUCUCGCAUCGAUGAAGAACGCAGCGAAAUGCGAUAAGUAAUGUGAAUUGCAGAAUUCAGUGAAUCAUCGAAUCUUUGAACGCACCUUGCGCCCUUUGGUAUUCCGAAGGGCAUGCCUGUUUGAGUGUCAUGAAACCUCACCCCACUUGGGUUUUUGCCUGAGCGGUGGUGUAUUGGGUGUUGCCUUGCUAAAGGCUCGCCUUAAAGACAUAAGCACCUUGGAUGUAAUACGUUUCAUCCUUCUGGGUGGCUGAUAACCCCACAUAUUCAUGAUCUGGCCUCAAAUCAGGUAGGGCUACCCGCUGAACUUAAGCAUAUCAAUAAGCGGAGGAAAAGAAACUAACUAGGAUUCCCUUAGUAACGGCGAGUGAACCGGGAUGAGCUCAAAUUUAAAAUCUGGCGUCUUUCAGGCGUCCGAGUUGUAAUCUAUAGAGGCGUUUUCCGCGCCGGACCGCGUCCAAGUCUCUUGGAAUAGAGUAUCAAAGAGGGUGACAAUCCCGUACUUGACGCGACAACCGGUGCUCUGUGAUACGUUUCUCAAUGAGUCGA
RNAcentral lists this ribosomal RNA (684 nucleotides) under Vishniacozyma victoriae. RNAcentral's name for it is "eukaryotic LSU rRNA". The stretch from base 411 to 684 matches the Rfam family "Eukaryotic large subunit ribosomal RNA", at positions 1 to 268 of the family's 3401-position model. Lineage: Eukaryota; Fungi; Basidiomycota; Tremellomycetes; Tremellales; Bulleribasidiaceae. The record is from RNAcentral.